Long non-coding RNA from Aedes albopictus (Asian tiger mosquito), 3131 nucleotides. RefSeq lists it as uncharacterized. The transcript is spliced from 4 exons. Lineage: Eukaryota; Metazoa; Arthropoda; Insecta; Diptera; Culicidae. The record is from RefSeq and is a predicted model, not a curated record.
CUACACGUAUCCAUACACGACCCGAACCCAACACACGCACGCAACCGAACCGACGGACGAAGACGACGACUUCGACUCAACAGCAGCAGCAACACGAACGCUUGUUGAACACCGCACCGUCGAUGGGCCAAAGCAAGAGCCACCUCAACAAGUUGAAACGUGUUGAGGAAUCAGUUUGCUGUCAGCAAUCGUGCCAAUCGGACGUGUUUCCCUGUUAGCUCUUCGCUGCCUGCGAAAGAUAGAAAGCAUUUCCAAGUUAGAUAGACGACGACGAAUUCGCGAGUUGGAAAAGUUCUUUGUUUUCGUUUGUGAGAGAUCCGUGCGUGUCAUACGGAAGUUCCGCGUGUCGGCGUUUUUUCCCCGUGUGCGGGAAAAGUUUUCCACGGUGUGGAACGUUGUGCAAGAACAAGGAUUAUUUUAGCGUGUGUUGUGCGCUGGUGGAAGAAGUUCGUGGUUGUUUAUACCGUGAAAGCUGUGAAGGAGAGAGUGACAUUGACUGAUUUUUUUUAUCGAAAAAUCGAAAAGUGAAGACUGAUUUUUGCGGUUUGAGUUAUUAAAAGUGGGACCAAUAAACAAUGGCUGUGGCGUUUUAUAUUCCCUCGGUGGACGAGGAUGAACCGGUGAAGCCUAAUUCGCCGCACCCUCAACAGGUCGGUGGGGGCCAGCACCAGCAAGCGUCUAAUCAAACGACCGGUUCGAACGUGUCGCAACAAGUCCGUGCGGAGGCGGAGGCGGUGGCAGAGUACCAAAGGCAACACCUGAUAGCGGUGUUCCACGAGAUUUUGGUGGCUUACGCGAGAGAAGCGGCCCUCGCGCAGCACUCGCCAAACCCCAAAGCCCUACCGCCCACCACCGAGCCGUGCCUGCUGUGUAAAAAGCUCUGCUAUCUGUUCCGGCGGUUCUACUGACAACAUCAUCGGUGCCAGACGACUGCCGCCGCUGCUGCCGCCACCGUCCUACUAGAUAGCCGGUGCUGGUGCUGGUGCACCAUCAGCACCACCAUCGACGAUAACAUUAGCCAAAAACGUGCCAGGACUACUGAUACUACUACUACUACCACUACCACUACUUCAACAACCACUAGGAAUAAACGAGAGGAGCCUUCGGGUCGUCAUCGUCGGAGCAGGCGGAAGCCGACGGCGGUGGCACGGCAGCAAAAGCACCAGCGAGAAACUAGGUCAAGGACGAUGGAGACUGGUGCUUUCACGACCACCAGCAAGGUCACUGGUGCUGCCACCACCGAUGACGACGACGACUCUGUGGGCGCCGAUGGAACUGUUAGCUGUAAGCGUCGUCGUAAAUGGAGCGAGUUGUGAAUUUUUGGUGCUAUUAAAUUAAGCUUGACGAGAGAUUGCGAUACGACGGAAUGAUUCAUCCGUUUUGGCGCUCUCUCCUCGUGUUGCACACGCCUCUCGCUCUCCCUAGCUCCGAUGGAGCGAGCGUUGGAGCAGUGCGUGCGUAUGUGAGUCGGAACAGAGCGAGUCGUGUUGAAUCGUGUUGUCGAUGGGUCGUCUCCUGCCGGAAAACAUUAGAAAAGUGUUUGGAUUUUGAUCGGAAAAGAUGGUGCAAGAGUGGCGGGCUUCGGGUUCUUCGCUGAAUCCGGACCCGAGCUCGAACCCGGAUGAUGGCUGUUGAGGAUGGUUUCGUAACUAGGCAACAAACGCAAAUACGCAAAACGUCAAAUUGUUUGUUGAUAAUUGAAUUUUUGGAAGCAUUUUUUUGGAGCGAACAAACUACGAGCAAUUAUACAAAUUACGAAAAAAAAACCUUGUACAUAAAGCAGUUAUUCUCGAGACCCCUCUCUCUCUGUAUCUAUAUACUUCAAGUAAGUUCAUCGGAAUAGCUGUGACAAACCAAAGCAUCUGAUCAAAAGACAAAACAAAACCACGUUUUUCUCACGAUAUUUCUUAGCGUGUAAGCCCAUUUCGAAUCUUGUCGCGACAAGACCCGAACAAACUAACAAAUAACUAUUUAUACCAUUAUCGAAUUAUAACGAACAGAAAAAGACAAACUAGUAGAUGAAGCUGUUAGUUGUUUAAGCGAAUUGAAGAAAAAACAAAAGCAUAUUGUGACCCCCCUCUAGCAAGUAAGGCCCCUCCCCGAUCCAAAGUGGAAAGGCGGAAAACAAAACAAAGACAAGCGCAAUUGUGAUAUCAUGAAUUCUUUUUUCUUAAUUUUUAAAGUGCGAAAUAUUUCUAUACACAAACAAACAGAACAAAACGCAAACAAAGAAAAACGAAGCACUCAAGGUUGCCGUAGAAGCGAGGAACAAAGACAAAACGGUUAUAAACGGUAGGAAUCGAAGCGAUUUAAAAACACAAAAAUAAGAGCAAACGGAAACCGCGGCUGCCGCGUUUUACGCCUCCCGAUAUAGAGAUACACUGUAAAUAUUUAUUUUAAAAAUUGACAAAAAAGAGUAACGAACGACAAAUUAGGACUACGGUGUCUACUUAUAUAUACUUCAUAUACUUACAAAAAAAAAUCAUACAACUAUAUUUAACUUUGUGACGUAAGGUUUCUUCGUAUGUAUUUUUCUGCUUUUGACUUUUUAAUACGCGCACGUUUCCCUCCCCCCGAAAUGGGAGAAUUUAAUUGUGGUAGUGUUGUAUUGGUACAAUAAGCAAGCAUUUGUAGGUUUAAGGCCCCAUUAAACAAAAGAAAAACACAAAAAAGUCAACAAUCAAUUUCAACUUCAACUUCUUCUUAAGUAAUUACGAUGAGUAGAUUUUAAAGCGAUCGCGUUUACCUAGGUAAGAACUUGUGCUACUACCAUACAUAUGUAUUUGUAAAUCGAACUCAAUCAAAAAUCCAAUACGACGACGACGCGUUUGUUUGUACAUAAUUUAUUUGGAGCUUUCGUCCACCAGGCCUGCAGACGGGUGGGCGAAAGUUUGGCAUUUGUUAGACCAAAAAGUAAUGUGAGAAAAAAUAGUUUGAUGAAACGAACAAAAAAAAAUAAUGUAACUAAUUUGCCUAAAGCAGUACUGUCAUUAGUUUAAUUUCCAUUGAUUCCUCAGUUUACCAUUAAUUGUAUAUUUUUUGUUUGUUGCAUACUCGAAUGAACGAAUGGAAUGAGAAGGUGGUUUUUUGAAUAAAUCAAAACGAGAAUGGUUUCGAUAAAUGACGAAAAA